GACAGUUGCUCAUACACUCCUUUCUGAGGCUGGAACAGGGUCUAUGAGAAAACAGACGAUUCUGCUGGCUUCUUGUCAUCCCUGUUCUUGAGUUUACCAGGAGCCUCAGCGGUGGGCAUGGAGGAGUGGAAGAUGAAGAUCUUUCCGCUACAUUCUGCAGCCUGGAGGUGGCAGAGUGACGAGAGAGGGAUAAGAUAAAAGAUCUCCAAAAGGAGGUCGAACUAAGAUAACAGCCCUCGAUUCCUGGAAGUUGACGAGGAAGCCGUCAAGUAGCGGGACGAACACUUCCUCCGUGUCUGAAACCACCAUCAU
Paralichthys olivaceus (Japanese flounder) is the source of this 312-nucleotide non-coding RNA. The record is from RefSeq and is a predicted model, not a curated record. NCBI's taxonomy places the organism in Eukaryota, Metazoa, Chordata, Actinopteri, Pleuronectiformes, Paralichthyidae.